CUCGCGCCUGUGCUGACAGGCUCUCUGGCUAAGAAACCGUCCCACGUUGUUUAAAAAAUGGCUGGGAGCAAGUUGGGGGGAAACACUGAGCUCCGUGGGGCUGCCUGGUGGCGCGAGCGGCGUGCGUCCUGGGUUUGUCAUUCUCUGUCACCAGGGGCCUGGGCAGUUGAAAUAUUUCAGAACAACAGGGAUCCCUCCUGGCCUAGGACACUGAUCUUCAUGAUGAAUUAAGAGGGGAAAAGGGAAUUGCAAAAUAAUGUAAAAGGAAGAUGUUUCUGCGGAAGACAGUAUGUGUAAUUGCGUGGGAACAAGACCAAAAGGGACCACCCUGUGACGACAGGCUCCCUUGGCGACCAGGAGGAAACUGGUGAAGGUGUUUUUCCUCUGCCUCUGCAAGAUGACAUCUGCACACAGGGCAGGGCCCAGGCCGCACCCCUCCCUGCAGUUCUCGGAAAACUGGUGACUCUUUCUCAUGUGACUCUCAGCACGGAAGGUCGAGUAUGCGGCAAGCCCAGGCUUGUUGACUGGCGCCUGCUUAGCCGAGCUCUUCUGCCAGGGCAAGAUUCCCACAGCUCACUCCUCUCCUAGAUCUGCCCCACUGGUCUUGUCCUGGCAACAUUUCCAGGGGUGGUUUGGGGUGGGAUGAAAGAGCAGUGGGGGAAGAGGGAAUCGCCUGUCAGAAUGAUCUAGAAAGCUGGGAGGGGGUGUAUGAAAUCAGCCCAGUGACCCUUCCCUGCUGCUUCACAGUACCAGGCUGUGGAGUCAGCCCUUUAUUUACCUGAGAAGGCGCCUGGGAGGAGGGUGUUCGUAGCUGUACUGCUGCAUCAGGGGCCCAAGUUGAUACCUUGCUUUCCUCUACCUCUGGUCUCAAAAUCUCUCAUUUACAUAUAUCAUUCCCGACUCCCAGAAACUGUCCUAGAUUUGAUUUUUCAAAGAGGAGGAGGAAGGAGAAUCAGCAAUGCACAAAGCAUAGACUUCUCCAUCACAAAGAGAGGUAAGACUUUGUACCCUUGUGUCUGGAGCUGCCCCAGCCACCUACUGGGGGCAAAAUGGCACGAUUUCAGGGGGUCCUUGUUGAGAAGUUCUCCUGGCCUCUAAGUCCCAUAGCUGGGAAAGGAAUGUACUUGAGGAGAGAUUAAGUUGAGGGCAGAGAACCACACAGAUUUUCUGGCCUGCCUUAGGGGGCCAGGGCUGUGCCCACAGUACAGUGGACCACAUGGCCCCGGUUCUGCAUUCUCCUUCUCCAAAUAAGGCUAAAAAUACCACCACCCUGAUGGAGGACAGGGGCAGGGCGGCCAGUGCGUCAGCAGAUUACUGAAGACCAAAACAAGCUGUUCCAGCAAACGGCAGUAAACAGAGGACCUUAGAUCCCUGGGUGGGGCUGGGUGGUGAUGGGCCUGCCCCAGCUGGGAGGGUGGCCACAGUUUGCUCCUUCCUGGGCAGCUCUGGGUUGGAGGGGAAAGAAGAACUGGAAGGAGCCCCCUGGGCAACAUCCGAAUUCCAGGGUUGGGCACCCCCCCCAUCUUCCAAGCCCUUUCUCAGGGCCAUGCCACUUGAGAUCACCCGUCUCCCCAGUGACUGGCCUCCUCAUCUUGUUCCGAAGCCGGCUCAGCUCUGUUGUUUUGAAACAUAUUGAUAGUGCUUCAGGUUUACACCAAGGGCAGGACGAUGACAGUGUUGCUGCUGCCCGUUGAGAAUGUGCCAGAACUCCUGCCCCCAUCUGCCAAGAGCUCAGUUCCAGAGCUGUGGCCUCCUGAGUCAUCUUGGGCUCCUCACUUUCCAGAGACCCCUGGCCUGGGCCCUUUCCCUCUGAGCCCUAAGGCCCCUCAGCUCAGGGCCUGGGUCAGGAAACUGCACAGUCACUAUGUGCUGGCGGGAAGCCUCGCCUCACAGCAGCCGUGCAGGAAAACGACCUGGGCCCCACCCCCAGCCCCAACCGGCCUCUUCCUGUGUGGCCCCGGCCUACUCGGCCGCCACCUCUUAAGUGACUGUGGGCAAUUCCUUACCAUCUCCCAGGCUUGCUUUCCCCAUUCUGUGUGCCCCUCCUUGCCCUAACAUUUCAUAAUUCUGAUGAAUGUUGUUUUGCCUGGAACGUUCUUCACUUAGUGGCUGUCUGGCUACCCGCUCUCAGUUCUUUCAGUCGUCUGCCCCAAGGUCACUUCUCAGAAAGUCCCCUGACUGUGGCUCUAAAAGCCCCCCACCCCUGACUUGAUCUCCUCGAAGGAGGGGUUUCUGUCUGUCUUGUCCUGGAUCUCUUUCCCCCUCAGAGUCCUAGGCACAUAGGAGACCUCAGUAAAUGUGUGACUGCUUGGUUUAUGUUUUGUGGAGGUCACUCUGACCACUGUGAGGCUCUCGGUGAAUAUUUGUGGACUGACUGAAGGAAGGAAGUGUGUUUCCAAGUCAGCUGCAGCUCUGCAAAUGCCCAGAUCUGUGGGCCUGUGCAGCCCUGGGCUCCCAGGUCAGGAGUCAAGGACAAAGAGGGGCAGCAGCUGCCCCAGAUGGACUGGUAAUGCCUGGGCAAAGGAAACUAGGGUACCUCUUGGCCAAGUGUUGUCAGAAGACAUUUGAAGGAGAGGGCAUUGGAGGGUGGAGAUCCCCCAGUCCUGGUUUUAGAAAGCUGGGGAGUAGGUGCACCAGCCCAUCCGCAUUUUAUGCCCUCAUUUUCUUGACCCACGUGGCCCAGGAAGCAGGUAGCCAGAGGGAACAGAGGGGGAGAGGGCUUCUCAGCUUUUGACCCUUGUCUCUCCUGGGGGUAUGGGGUCUGUGGGCAAUUGGUCCCGGAUGCCCCUUUCUUGCUACUCCCAGGCUUCCUCCUAGGGCCAGGCCUUAGGCUGGGCCUUCCAGGAAACAACUCUGAUGAUGUCGGUCUCCUGCAUCCGGAUUCCCAGGACUCCCUGUUCCCUGGCAUGGGCUCCCCACCCCCUCUUGAGCACUUGGCCUUUUGCCCACUCUCACAGGCCCUUAGUUCGGUGCCCAAUCCUGCCAGAUACACCCACUUUCUUGAGCCCUGCCCAAGCAGCCUCCCUGCAGAACACCCUGUCUGCCCUCCUCUUCCAACCCCUGUGCUGGCUUGUGGUCACCCGCAUCUCCUACAGCCCCUGAUCCUAACUAUCACAGCACUAGCAGGUGGCCCCAUUCGCACCCCGAGCUCCCUGUGCCGAGCACAGGAAGGCCUGUGGGAUGAGCGGCCUGGUCCCACAAGCCUUGCUUCCCUCACGCUGCCCUAUGCCUCCAGCAGCCCCCAGACCUCCUUUGCCCCACUGUUGCUGACUAAGCAAAUCCCAACUUUCCUGACCCCACACUUUGGCCUGUGCCCACCUUUCUAGCCUUGUCCCCAAGCCCUCCCACCAGGAAUCUUGGGCCAGCUCCCGGGGGGCAGGGAGCCGGGCCAGGUGCUGACGUCUUGUCAUCUCCCAUCCAUGGUUUGCAAAGCCCCCAAGAACCCCCUUCCUUCCCCAGGGUCUGCUAGCAGCCCCAUUUCCACUAGGGUCCCUGCUGACUGGAAUAUCCUCAGCCUGGGCCUUGCUGAACACUGGUUGUUUAGAGUGUCCUUGAACCUCUGAAGGAGACUUUUCUGCUCCAACGCCCCUAGUCUGACUGUCACUUAUGAACAAGUCCACACAUGACACCAGGGCUCAUGUGGGCAAAGUAGAAACCCUCUGGAGGCUGCUGACCGUGACGUUGCAGGGGAGACCUGUACUCUCAUCGGCUCAGAAUGUCAGCAGUCACUGCCACCCUCACCAAAAAAAUGACAAGGUCAGAUGGGCAGGAGACACAGAGGUCAUAGGGAAGAGCUGAGCCUAUUCUUAUUCUCCCUGUUGCAAACUGUGUCAAAUAGCUUAAAAUAGCUGGAAGGCUCAGGAUGUGUGGGGGAUGGGAGGUGCUGGGAGUGGGGCCCAGGGCAGCUGGGAAGGAGAAAGGGGCUGGGCAGAGGCCAGGGACAGUCAGCUCCUGUGGGCUGGGGGUGGAGCAGGAGGGAGAUGACUAGUCCCAGGGUGUGCCCACCCUAUCUCCUGGGUUUCUCCAAAUAGCCCUAGUUUUAAAUACUUUGACUAAGUUGUCAUUUAACAGAAAAAUAAAAUAAUUCCAAAGCAGAAUCUGUUUCUGGGAACUGGAUCCUGAUCUUUGGAAGACUUGGGUCCCAUCACCAAGCUGGAGAACCCAGGGGCACCCCAUAUCUGGUGCACUUGGAGGUCUGGGACCCCUCAUCAUGGACUCAGAGGCAGGAGGAAGGUUGGGGCAGUCAGGAGCCAGGGCACCCACUCUGAGAGGGGGUGGGCAUGCAGUACCAGACCCACUCCCUAGAUUCUGUCCCAGCACGACCACAGUUCCAGGCUGUCUGGAUCGGGUGGGUGGUGCUAGAGUCACUUCCGUAGCUGAGCAGGAGGAAAGGGCGGGCUCAGCUGCCCCCUGCUGGCCCAAACUGGACCAGCAACCUGUGGGCAGUGACCAUGGCUGCACCUCAACCUGUUGUCAGCCACUGGGGACGAGAAGGUCACCAACUUGGCACCGGAUUUGCUGCUGAAGUCUUGAGAGCCAGGCCCAGCCCUAUCCCUGCAUUCUGGGUGAAGCUGGGUAAUCCACCUGCCUUCUCUGAAAUGUGGGGUGGAUUUGGACAGGGAGAAAGUGCCAGGUGGCUCUAAAAGGUCCUCCCAGCCAGGGAGGACAAGCAGUGAGAAUCUGUCCCAAGGUCGAGGUCUGUACUUCCCUAGGGUCACAGCUGUCAGUGUCCCUCAGGCUCAAGGUCACAGCCAGGUGUUACAACACCAAGGUAAGUGGUUUGGAUCUCCAUACUGGCAAGCCUCCAAAAACAAAAAGUCCCAGCCAGGCUUUGCUUGGCUGCCCUGCCCCACCCCAUGCCCUCUGACUUGGCUCCACUUAUCUCUCUCCUACUGAGCCUGUCAGGCCCCUUGUGUAGGAAGCCUUCUUUGAUCACAGGUCCUCCUCCCUGUCUAUUGCCAGUUUCUUUAUCUUUUUUGGGGUGUGACCAGCUCAUCUGUCAAGGGCAUCGUGUAUACAAAGUGUCUGGUUAUCCCAGUCAUUUGUGUUCCCAUCUCCAUUGUCCCCUGGAAAGCUGAUGGGACUCUGAGCUGACACACUCUUGGCCAAUUCAGUUGCUAAUCUUGCAGCCCCGUGCAUGGGGAGCAGCUAGAACUCCUCGGAGGCCCCUGGCAUGCUCACCCCAGCCCUCUCCUUCCUAGCUUUAUCUGUGUCCCUUGAGCCUUUGUCUUUUCACACAGUGUGACAGCUUCCUGGGUGGCCCUGCUUUUCUGAAUCCAGGAGGGUCUCUGGCCUCCUGUGGGUCUCUCAAUAUGCUGGCAUUCUGCUGGACGGUGACAGCACGAGGCCCUCAACAAUGGGUCUGGGCUGGCCACUUGCUGGGCUGGAGUUGUGGCGGCAGCUGCCUGUGCCCAGCUAGCUUACGGUUGGGAAGACCUGCAGGAGUGUCCCAGAUGCUGCUGAAAGUGGUGGAGAAUAGCACAGAAAUGUCCCACAGAAGGGACAAUGGGAUUGCAUGUGUUGACUGUUCUGGUCACUUCUGUUACCUGAGUUCUGAAGAGUUAGGGAGCACAGACUCCCUGGAGAGUCUCAACAGGGCCUCUUCUGGCCUGGGGGGCCUUUGGAGCCAGGUGCUGGCUGAGCCGGGCAGUGUGUACCCGGUUGGCAGGGGUAAGCCACUCCUACUGCUCCCUGCAACCCAAGGCAGCUGGUAUUUUAAAAUAACAGCCUCUGAUGCAUUAAAAAGCCGGAAAGAAGACCAAGACAGUAAACCUCAGGGUGAUGUUAUGGGUUGAAUUGUGUCCCACUCAAAAAAAUGUUGAAAAAAAAAAAGGUUGAAAUCCUAACCUCAGAAUGUGACCUUAUUUGGAAAUAGGGUUGUUGCAGUUGUAAUUAGUUAAGAUGAGGUCAUAGUGGGGUAGGGUAGGCCUCUAAUCUAACAUAACCGGUGUCCGUAUAAGGAGACAGCCGUGUGAAGACAAGAAACACACAUGCUGAGAACACCACGUGAAGGUGCAGGCGGAGGUUGGGUUCAUGCAGCUGUAAGCCAAGGAACACCAGAGAUGGCCAGCAAGGCACCAGAAGCUAGUGGCAGGCAAGGAAGGAUUCCCCUGCGGGUUUCAGAGGGAACAUGGGGCCCUGCCCACACCUGAAUUUUGGACUUCUAAACUCCAGUACUGUGUGGGCAAGGAAUGGGUAAAGGGCCAAGUGUAUAUUAUUGAAUAUAAUAAUUCUGAUAUGAGCAUCACAGAUUGCGUGUGGGUGUUGAUGUUCAACCCUGUACCCCACAAAUAUGUACAAUCAACUUACAAUAAAAAUAAAAAUAAAAAACUCCAGAACCGUGAGACAA
Molecule: long non-coding RNA, 6349 nt
Organism: Cynocephalus volans (Philippine flying lemur)
Lineage: Eukaryota; Metazoa; Chordata; Mammalia; Dermoptera; Cynocephalidae
Exons: 2
Source: RefSeq, a predicted model, not a curated record